RNAcentral lists this long non-coding RNA (227 nucleotides) under Ganoderma lucidum. Its description in RNAcentral is "long non-coding RNA (GLUC_LNC000029)". Lineage: Eukaryota; Fungi; Basidiomycota; Agaricomycetes; Polyporales; Polyporaceae. The record is from RNAcentral.
CAAGUCACAAGUGGCGUGAGCUGAUGACAUGUGGCGGGCAGCGCCAGCACGGGGUCCACACACGCCUCUCGUUCUGAUGCAGGAGGCGUGGUGGGAGAUAGAAGGUGGACGCUUGGCAGAUACAUAAGACGCAGAACGGCAACCUCGGCGAUAGAGCAAAGUUGGUAUUUGAGUUCAACAGACGGCGAUUAUAGGACUCGGGAGAAGCGGCAUGGGCUAUAUUAGAG